RNAcentral lists this ribosomal RNA (363 nucleotides) under Triticum aestivum (bread wheat). RNAcentral describes it as "partial small subunit ribosomal RNA". Lineage: Eukaryota; Viridiplantae; Streptophyta; Magnoliopsida; Poales; Poaceae. The record is from RNAcentral.
AUGUCCGAUGCUGAGGCUGGGCGUGAGUUUAUCUUGUCCCAUUUCAAUGUGACCAGCAUCCCACCGGUUUCUUUCUUCUGCAAUACACUCAAAUCUGAAGAAUUGCCUGAUGAAGACACUUUCAUCUGCUUCAUGUGUAUUGCCUUGUCCACUUUCUUGUGUCCAAACCUUUCUCCUAGUCCCAAAUAUCUCCACAUUUUCAGAGAUUGUAGUUCUGUGAUGAACUAUGAUUUAUCUAGAUUGGUAUAUGAGAGUCUCCUUGACAAUAUUAAGAAGUUUAAGGAUUCUAUGAAGGUUGCUUCUAUGAGAUCAAUGACAUUUGGCGGUUGUCACUACGCAUUCGCUGUCGAUUUUACAGUGUAA